Long non-coding RNA from Spea bombifrons (plains spadefoot toad), 148 nucleotides. RefSeq lists it as uncharacterized. Lineage: Eukaryota; Metazoa; Chordata; Amphibia; Anura; Pelobatidae. The transcript is spliced from 3 exons. The record is from RefSeq and is a predicted model, not a curated record.
AAAAAGCAUUUUCCAGGGUGUUUAUUGGGCGGCUACGAGACGCACGGAGCGGACCCGGAAACAGCAAAAUACAAGAAUGAACAGCUUAACCAGGAAAUAGAGAAGAUCAAGUUCUCUAAGUGGGGUCCUUGGCAAUGCGACUGCCGGC